Lynx canadensis (Canada lynx) is the source of this 1411-nucleotide long non-coding RNA. RefSeq lists it as uncharacterized. NCBI's taxonomy places the organism in Eukaryota, Metazoa, Chordata, Mammalia, Carnivora, Felidae. The transcript has 3 exons. The record is from RefSeq and is a predicted model, not a curated record.
GGUGGACUCAGAGGCCCCAGAGAACAUAACUAUCUUGCAGAGACUUCCACAGCCAAGUGGUGAGAAGCUGGGAUUGCUCCCCGGUUUUGCGGAUCUUCUGUGGGACUUUCUCCUGCUUCGCCUUCCUGCCACAGUGUCUCCCUGGGACCAGCUUGGGCAAUGUUGAGGGAUGGAGAGAUGUGACUUCCAUGCCUUCCAGGAAGAAUUUGGAACCACAGAUGGGCAGCAUGGAUUCACUGGAACCACAGAACCAGCAGGGAAGGGAGCCAGAAGGAUGCCUCCUCAGCAGCUAUCCUGACCCAGUGGGGAGAUUCGAUAUCAUUGAACAGCUAAGGUAUGCAAGAGGACCACGGAAGGGUCGACAACCUCACGUUACCAUCUCGCAACUGGCAGAAUCAUCACGGCCUUUUUGAUGACGGAGCCAUUUUAUAUGUAACAAGAGUUCGCAGAACGCUUGAACAGGAGAAAUGUUUUGUAAUCAAGGAGCAGUAAUUGUUAUUCUUUCCAGUUGUUGAGUUAGCUAUGCCUCUAUAAAUUAUAACGUAGUGUUCCAAAUUUAUAUUGAGUUCCUGCGGUGUCCUGAAAUUGGGGUCAGCCCACCUCUCCAAAGAAGACCAGACAUGUUCCUGUGAUGCGGGUUCAUGAAUGAUAAUUUCGAUCGCUUCUUCCUCAUUCUAAAAGCGAACAAAAGUCAGCGUCCCCACAGAGCCUAGAUUUCUGAAGUAACUUCACCUGUGUGAAAUCCCAACUUAUCUCGAUAGGAUAUUAUCAAAGGAAGGGAAAUUUCCCAUCCAGGAUACGUAAAAACAAAACAAAACAAAACAAAACAAAACUCAAUAUCUGAUUCCCAGCAAAGCUCUGGCACUUUGUCUCACAGGUUUGUUGAGAACUUAUAACCAUGGUUGAUUUCUUGGGCAUUAAUUUCUUACCACUUUCUGGGAAUCUAUUGAGGCAGAUGCAAAUUAGGAUAGGGUGGGUCCUCAAAUAUAGAUUCUUUCAGACUACUGUUCUUAAGAAUUCACAUUGAGCUUAUUUCUAAACUUAUAACAUUAUGACAGAGAGGUCAAUGAGUCAACUCUUUGAGUUCGUGAUGACUUUAAGGGCAUGCCAUCGACCACAUUUCUAACUCAAAUCAAGCUAUUUUAGGUGUGGCUCUCAAAAUCAUCGAUCUCCGCAAUGUCGCACUCGACUGCACUUGUGGCAUGUUUUUGAGCUGCAGGGUCCAUGGGGCUGGAAUGCUGGCCUCGGGAAGGACUCUGGACAGGGUUUGGCAAUCGUAUGAACCACCAGGGUUCCUUCCCGCAAUCAGCCUGGCAUCGACUGGAUCAACAGCAGAGCCCUAUUCCCGGUCUGUGUUGAAAUUCUCUGUUGUCCUUUCAAAUCCUAACUAAAGGUUUCCUCCCAUUGUGUA